Molecule: long non-coding RNA, 4867 nt
Filed under: Sus scrofa (pig)
Lineage: Eukaryota; Metazoa; Chordata; Mammalia; Artiodactyla; Suidae
Description: lncRNA (ENSSSCG00000056291.1)
Source: RNAcentral
GAUAAAAUCAACUUUUCUUUUUAAUGGCUAUGUAAAAAUAGUGAAGCCUAGAGUAUCUAAAAGUGGUCAUAUAGGGCAUAUAGCUCACUGGUGAGAGAGAAAAAUGUUGAGAUCUGCUGUUAUAUUGAAAAAAAAAGGCGAUACUUAAAUUCUAGAAAGAGAUUGGCAAUGAUGAGAAGUGUUUUUAAAUAUAACAACAGAUCUCCAAUGCCUGUACCAGAAGUAAGCCUCAUGCAUACAGAGGAAUAGGAAGUUUAGUCACUAAACUGUGCUACUUACAAGACAGCACUGUCCCCAGUAAAUAUAUAUCCGGGUUUCUAAGCACUUAUUUAGUUUGUAGCUGUUGCCAAGGGUCCAAUCAAGCAUACAACAAACAUUUAUGGAGUGCCUACUAUAUCUCAAGACGAGGUGCUGGACAUAUGGUGGAGAGGAUGCCAAACCAAUCAUUGCUUUCUUAGAAUGGUGUGGCAGAUAUAAUGGAAAAUAGUCCAUUCACGGUUUCUUUGGGAGUUAGACCUGACUGAUUUGUUAAUUGAUUAGAUACAGAUAAUGAAGAAAAAGAGACACCAUGAGGUUGAUUACUGGGGUUUUGGCUAAGGAAGCUGAGAGGAGGAUAGUGUUAUUUAUGGAUUACAACUGAAAUAUAUAUUCCCAGAGACAAGAAUUCCAGGAUUACGUUCUGAUUACUCAAAGUUUUGGUUGUGGUAACUCUGAAGUAUUUUCUGGGAGUCAUCUUAGGCCUCAGAGAGAGCCUGUUCCUUUAGCCUCUCCAUCAUUCAGACAGCACCUAAAUUCCCUGUAUUACAUCCCUUUAUCUUGCACAUGCUAAAAGAUUUCUAUUUUUUGCAACUAAACCCUGACAGUGUGAGCGUGGAGAAAAUCAGGAAGAAAACAAGUCAGUGAAGACAAGAGGAAAAAAAAUAUUUUAUGAAAGAGAGAACUGUUGAUUCUGUUGAAUUGUGGAAUGCCGCUGAAAAAUCAAAUCAAAUGAAUCAAAAGGAGUGAUCUGUGGAUUUAAAAUGGAGUGAUUGGUGCUGAUGGUAACUACAAUUCAGUAUAAUGUUAAAGAGAAGCCCAAGUAGAUGAGUUUGAGGAGCAAAUAGGAAAUAAGAAGUAACAUAAAAACUAUGUAGAUAAAUCUUGUAAGUAGUUUUGUUGUGAUAGGGAGCAGAGAAAUGUUAUAGCAGUAAAGAGGGAAGAAGGGGUCAAGGAUGGAUGUAUUUUGGAGUGGAGUUAUUUCGUGUAUCAGUUAUCUUGCUUUUGGUUGCAAGUUACAGAAAUUCCAAUUCAAAUUGGCUUAGGCAAUAAAAAUUGAAAUUGGAACGAUUCAUGUAACUGAAAAAGGGCCAUAAUUAAGGAUUCCAACUGUAUUUUUCUGCAGCUCUUAGUUCCACAGUUUUCUUUAUACUCAAUUUCAGCUUUUAUUAUAAUAAAAUAGCAAAAUAGUGGUUCUGGUUUUCCUAACUUUACAGCACGCAGAUCAAAGUGAGAGGAAACUCAGGUCCUGACAUUCACUCCAAUGGGACCAACACGAAUUCAUCAUAAUUUCCAGAGAAUUUUCAUUAAUUGAAUGGCUAGGUUGUGUGCUCCUGCCACUCCCCAAAUCAAUAGCUGUGUAUAGGGGAAUAACAUUACCUGAAUUGCUUCUACCUUGAAGCUGAAGAGCAGGGGGCUGGGGGUGGAUCUCAUCCAACAUUUGGCUGAUGGACAAUGUGGGGUAGAAGGGAUGGUCAAGUUCAUACCCUAAUGCAUUGUCUGCGUGCUGUGGGAAAGAAGCCAUUGAAGGAAAUCAAUAACAGGUCAGGGAGGAGAGGUGAUUUCAGAGUGAGACUGAGACAGCAGGAGAACUUCAGAACUGGCCUUGCAUAGAAGAGGGUCACUUUCACCACUGAGAAGAGAGAAGAGAGUGUUACCAUGUCACCUGGGCAGAAAGCAGCUGGCUCUCCCUGGGAGGAGGAGGGGCUUCUCUUUUCCCAGAAAAGUAUAAGAUCAUCAGUUGAUGGUGAAGGAGGCAGAGGCUGAGGAAUGUCACACAAGAGGGGAAGGUGUGAAAUCAUCAUUUUGGAGAUUGUGAAAGUGAAAUGUGGGAGGUAUGCAGUGACCGAGAACCACUAUCAUUUUCUACUUCUGUUUUGAAAGAUUGCAUUGUCCUCACCCUCAUUAGUGAGCUUGAAGUGAUUAUUAGUUUCCCCUUUUUCUAUUUUCCUCACUCCCAAUUUGUAGAGAUGAUUUUUCUUAAAAAUUAAAGAAAAAUUCAUUCUUUACCUCUCAUUCCACUGUCACUCCUCUGGUAUAAACUGUCAUCUUUGCUCUGGAGGAUUAUUGUGGCAGCCCCAGAAGAAAUCUCCUUAUCUUUAGACGCUUCCUUCCCUGAUCCAAUCAUACUGCUGUCAGAAUAAUCAUCCCUAAAUACAGCUUUUGUCAUGUUGUUUCCUUGUUCACUGCAUCUGCCUGAGUUUCAGAGGGCUUUAGGCAAGGUCUUCCCUGUAUUUUUUUCCCCUUUGCUUUCCAAUAUAGAAAUCUCUAGUCCUGUCAGUCUUGUCUUUUCCUUUGCCCAAGAACUUAAUGUCAUAUUCCUUUCCACUUUUCUGUGUUCAUUCAUAGACCCCAUGCUAGAAAUUGCAAAUGUGCUCUUCUCACUACAUCAACUCACAUGUAUCCUCUAGGACUCAGCUGUGGAAUUUUCUGGGAUGAUGGAAAUAUUUUCUAUCGGCAUAGCCACAUGUAGCUAUUAAGCCCUUAUCGUGAGUGAGGAACUUACAUUUAAUUUUAUUUUUACUUAUAUAUAAUUUUACUUAUGUGUAAACUUCAAUGUAAAUAGCUAUGUGUGGCUAGUGGCUGCCACACGGAUACACAGCUUUAGGACCUACGCUUCAUCCUGUUCUUGCCUAAAAGCCGCUUAACCAGUUCAACAUUGACAGACAUUCCCCCUUGUGUGAAGUCCUGCAGCUUUGAUGAUCUCUAUUGCACAGCUAUACAUUUAGUUCUAUAUUUUCCUGCUUUCAAGUUUUUACACUUGCCUUGUUUCUCCCUUUGUCUUAUUUUUCUCUUUACCUUACAACAUUUAGCUCAUAACAUAUCCUUCAUUACAUACUUGACUAAAGUUUUGAAUUGUUUAUGUGCAAGGGGAUGCUUCUCCCCUACUAAAACAAGAUAGAAAGUCAAAGAUAAAAAUGGAGGAUGGAAGGUCCCAUCGUGGCUCAAUGGAAACGAAUCUGACUAGCAUCCACCAGGAGGUAAGUUUGAUCCCUGGCCUGGCUCAGUAGGUUAAGGAUCCGACGUUGCCAUGAGCUGUGGUGCAGGUUGCAGAUGCGGCUAGGAUUCUGCAUUGCUGUGGCUGUGGUGUAGGUCUGUGGUUACAGCUCUGAUUCAGCCCAUAGCCUGGGAACCUCCUCAUGCCAUGGAUGCAACCCUUAAAAAAAAAAAAGGAGGAUGUUCUUUGGCAGGAAGGAAAUUCAAAAUAGCUUCUUCUCUUUGUUCUUCUUGAGUUCCUUUCUCUCCCUUGGAUGGCUCCCACUUUCCUUCCUUCUUGGAGGAGUUAAAACAUCAUUAUUUUAUACACUUUGAAAAAUUGUUUUCUGACAUAUGAUGCAAUAGCAUUGCUGCUAUGAAGACAGUAGUAUCUUAACUGCUGCUCUGUGGUAUGUUAAAAAUACAUGGUUAGUUUUACUAGGGAGUUACUCAGAUGUAUAUACUCUUUCCCUGGAAGUUGUGGAAUCAUCUGAUUUCUACAGUUUACUAGUCUAACUUGUCCUCUAGUAAUGUAACCUAAAAGACUUUUAAUUUGAGGACAUUCGACUUUUUAAGUAGGAGGUAAAGGGCCAUGUUGCUGGUCUGGAGGGGAUCACUCAGUAAUUCUGUACCACCCCUCUCCUGAAGGGUUAUUCAAAUUCACUUAUAUAAUACGUGGAUUUUUCUGUAGUGAUUAGCCCCCAGGCAUUUAGUUGAAAGACAAGUAGCCAUUCUCCUUUUCCCUCCAAUGGGAAGAAGCCUUCACUUAUGCAAAUGACGGUGCUCAUGCUGUGGACCCGCAGAGAGUGCCUGACACAGUGGCAGCAAUAGAGAUAUAAAUCCCUUCACUAUUCAUGAAGCUGCUUCAGCGGUCAGUGAUGCUCAUUUGCAUGUUAACACCAGCAAAAAGGAUGCAAAACAUGAAUGCCCAACUUUUCAAAGGGGAGGAGGACAAGAGUGGAGUAAAAGCCCAGGAUAGACAUUGAGUUUGGUUUUGCUUUCUAGACAGCAAAAGCCUAGGAACCAAAUUAGCUUGCCAUUCCAUUUUUCUUAAAAAAUAAAAAUAGUUCUGUUUGUCCCUGCCAGAUCAGGCUACUUGAUUUUCUUCUACCAUUUUUUAAAACUUGAAUUUAAACUUUUACACUUGGAUGUAAGUUAUACGAGUUCAAAUACUCACUGUGGCUAGCCCAUAUCAAUUUUGCCCUUAAAAAUAAUAUUUUUAUCUUCUCAUUUGCCUCUUCAUGGGUAUGUCCUUAUUUCUCUCUUUCACUUUGUCUCUGUCUCUCUUUCACACACAUGGACACACUCACACACCCUCAUCAAGUGAACAAUGUACUUCAAUAUAUACUGUAAAACUAUAUCAUACAGUAGCAUAAUGACAAUUAAGGUGGUUAAAUUCUGUUAUUUAUAGUAACCAACAAUACUCUCUUGUAUUUGGGUACCUCUGUAUAAUUUAAAUGCUUUCACUUCUAUUACAUCAUAUAAAUAUAGAUGCAAUGAACCAAUGACAAAAAAUAAAAAGCAAUAAUUUACUUAAAUGCACAAUCUUUUUUUUUUUUUUUUUUUUUUUUUUGUCUUUUGGGGAUUAAAAAGGGUACUUUAAGAAUGGAAGAAUGAAAAGGAUGUUUAGUUAAAU